GUUUGAGGAAGGCCCAGGAGCGAGCCCAUGGUCUUCCGACGCGGGGCCAGGGGCGGGCCCCAGGAUCCGGAGCUUCGGGGGGGCCGAGUCCGGGUUUGGGGCCCGGGAGGCGGGGCCAGUUAGGUCGAGGGUCCCUGGGAUCGUCGGGUCAGGCCUUGGGCUAACGUAGGCACUCUCGCAGUUCCUCCGCCUUCAGGAAGGUCUUUUUAGCAGGGGCCUUACGGGUGCAUGCUUCGGUCCUGGAGGACUUAGGCUAGCCUCCUCUCCAUCAGCGCCACCCGUCUGGGGCCCGAAAGGAGGGAGCUUUCCCUCUGUCCCCCAGCCUUUGGACUGUCACCAAACAAGCCAUUCGUUCACCAAAUACUUUUUAAGCGCCUACCAUGUGCCUGACAAGGGAUAUGUAACGGUGAGAAAAACUAGGUGUGGUCCAGGCCCUUCAGGGACUCAGGGGCUCGUGGAAGAAGUGGAUAUUGAAGUACUUAUCACACAAAGGAGGAUAAAAGUACGAUAGCGAUAUCUACCACGAAGCUGUUGUUCCACACCAGAACCAAAUGAGCGCAAGAUCUGACAAAAAAAAAAGUCCCUGUAUCCUGAGAUGGAGUCACCUGAGAAUCCACAGCAAGUCCUAACCAGGGAUGGGUCUGGGUGAUUAAGGAAGAUUGGCUUCAGAACUGGGCCAGGGGCACUGCUUUGCUUUUGCUGUUUUGAUCAGCUCUCUGCCUGCAGGAGACGAGGAAAACCAAUGGGAACAGGUUAGUUAUACUCAUAAAUCCUGGGCUUAUUUUAUUAACUCACAUAAUAGCUAUUAAUUGUCUUUCCUCCAAGGAGCAAAAGGGCAUAUACGGUCAAUGUCAUAGUAAGUAACACUGUAUUAUGUUACACUAAAAUAUUAAUCUAGGUUGGUUCAGUCUUUCUUGAGUCCACAGAUUGGAAGCAGAUUGAGGAAGGACGCUAGCAGACCAUAGAGCUGAGCCAUGC
This 978-nucleotide long non-coding RNA is filed under the name Homo sapiens (human). Its description in RNAcentral is "HSALNT0068929". Lineage: Eukaryota; Metazoa; Chordata; Mammalia; Primates; Hominidae. The record is from RNAcentral.